AAAAGUCGUAACAAGGUAACCGUAGGUGAACCUGCGGUUGGAUCAUUAUAAAAUGAUAGCUCUUGGUUAGCGGUACUUUGGUAACCUUUCUAAGAGCUAAACACCUUUGUGCACCAUAAUUGUAUUUGGGUUGGACGUAUGAACCAACCCGCCUAUUAACUUCUAUUAUUUUGACUGACUUUUGUUUCUAUGAAUCAAAAACAACUUUCAACAACGGAUCUCUUGGCUCUC
RNAcentral lists this unclassified non-coding RNA (231 nucleotides) under fungal sp. RNAcentral describes it as "partial internal transcribed spacer region". The stretch from base 1 to 48 matches the Rfam family "Eukaryotic small subunit ribosomal RNA", at positions 1784 to 1831 of the family's 1831-position model. The record is from RNAcentral. Lineage: Eukaryota; Fungi.